GGCCGGUUGGCCCAAUGGCAAGGCGUCUGACUACGAUACACGGUGGCAUCAGGAGAUUGUGUGUUCGACCCCCAUGCUGGUCA
This 83-nucleotide transfer RNA is filed under the name Colletotrichum godetiae. Its description in RNAcentral is "tRNA-Arg". It matches the Rfam family "tRNA". Rfam says of the family: Transfer RNA (tRNA) molecules are approximately 80 nucleotides in length. Their secondary structure includes four short double-helical elements and three loops (D, anti-codon, and T loops). Further hydrogen bonds mediate the characteristic L-shaped molecular structure. tRNAs have two regions of fundamental functional importance: the anti-codon, which is responsible for specific mRNA codon recognition, and the 3' end, to which the tRNAs corresponding amino acid is attached (by aminoacyl-tRNA synthetases). tRNAs cope with the degeneracy of the genetic code in two manners: having more than one tRNA (with a specific anti-codon) for a particular amino acid; and 'wobble' base-pairing, i.e. permitting non-standard base-pairing at the 3rd anti-codon position. Lineage: Eukaryota; Fungi; Ascomycota; Sordariomycetes; Glomerellales; Glomerellaceae. The record is from RNAcentral.